GAUGAAGAACGCAGCGAAAUGCGAUAAGUAGUGUGAAUUGCAGAAUUCAGUGAAUCAUCGAAUCUUUGAACGCACAUUGCGCCCUUUGGUAUUCCUUAGGGCAUGCCUGUUCGAGCGUCAUUUGAAACCUCAAGCUCAGCUUGGUGUUGGGUGUCUGUCCCCGCCUCCGCGGGGACUCGCCUCAAAAUCAUUGGCGGCCGGUACGUUGGCUUCGAGCGCAGCAGAAACGCGAACUCGAGGCCCGGCGGAUCGGCGACCAGAAGUCUCUUCUUCACAGUUUGACAUCGGAUCAGGUAGGGAUACCCGCUGAACUUAAGCAUAUCAAUAAGCGGAGGA
Molecule: unclassified non-coding RNA, 336 nt
Filed under: soil metagenome
Description: partial contains 5.8S ribosomal RNA, internal transcribed spacer 2, and large subunit ribosomal RNA
Rfam family: 5.8S ribosomal RNA (bases 1-120)
Source: RNAcentral